Molecule: ribosomal RNA, 391 nt
Filed under: uncultured bacterium
Lineage: Bacteria
Description: bacterial SSU rRNA
Rfam family: Bacterial small subunit ribosomal RNA
Source: RNAcentral
GACGAACGCUGGCGGCGUGCUUAACACAUGCAAGUCGAGCGGUAAGGCCCUUUCGGGGUACGACGAGCGGCGAACGGGUGAGUAACACGUGGGUGACCUGCCCUCCAGCUCUGGGAGUAAGCCUGGGAAACCGGGUCUAAUACUGGAUAUGACUCCAUGACGCAUGUUGUGGGGUGGAAAGACCUUGUGCGGCUGAGGAUGGGCCCGGCGGCCUAUCAGCUUGUUGGUGGGGUGAGGCCUACCAAGGCGACGACGGGUAGCCGGCCUGAGAGGGCGACCGGCCACACUGGGACUGAGACACGGCCCAGACUCCUACGGGAGGCAGCAGUGGGGAAUCUUGCGCAAUGGGCGAAAGCCUGACGCAGCGACGCCGCGUGAGGGAUGACGGCCU